UUUCAAGUUGGCAAGAAACUACUGGCGAUUUCCCAGAAGCAAGCGGCAACUCCAGAUUUUACAGGACACCAGAUGGCAGACUUGCUCUUUACAUUAUGGAGAUCAGAAACACCUAAAGAGGCAACAUUCCCUUCAUCCUUCCUCUUUCCAGUAGCAUCUUCAUCUCCAUUCUCCUGUUCAAAAAGAGCUGAUUGCCCAUAAUAGGACAUUUUGUGUUUUGGAAUUAUGGAUAAAGGAUUGUGCAUCCACACUGGCCCUAUUUCCCUACCCAUGACCACCCACCAUACCUAAGGAACUGAGCCUGGGGAAAGUUGCAACCACAGACUGACUGGUUUCAUUAUUAAUUGAUCAUCACCAUGUUCAAAGGGACCCUUGAAAUUGCCUGGUAAUUCCGCCAUGUUUCUUUGGUCUCUCAUUAAAAUUUC
Molecule: long non-coding RNA, 425 nt
Filed under: Vulpes vulpes (red fox)
Lineage: Eukaryota; Metazoa; Chordata; Mammalia; Carnivora; Canidae
Description: lncRNA (ENSVVUG00000024263.1)
Source: RNAcentral